RNAcentral lists this ribosomal RNA (501 nucleotides) under uncultured bacterium. RNAcentral describes it as "partial 16S ribosomal RNA". It matches the Rfam family "Bacterial small subunit ribosomal RNA", at positions 30 to 523 of the family's 1533-position model. The record is from RNAcentral.
AUUGAACGCUGGCGGCAGGCUUAACACAUGCAAGUCGAGCGGGGGAAGGUAGCUUGCUACCGGACCUAGCGGCGGACGGGUGAGUAAUGCUUAGGAAUCUGCCUAUUAGUGGGGGACAACAUCUCGAAAGGGAUGCUAAUACCGCAUACGUCCUACGGGCGAAAGCAGGGGCUCUGCGGACCUUGCGCUAAUAGAUGAGCCUAAGUCGGAUUAGCUAGUUGGUGGGGUAAAGGCCUACCAAGGCGACGAUCUGUAGCGGGUCUGAGCGGAUGAGCCGCCACACUGGGACUGAGACACGGCCCAGACUCCGACGGGAGGCAGCAGUGGGGAAUAUUGGACAAUGGGGGGAACCCUGAUCCAGCCAUGCCGCGUGUGUGAAGAAGGCCUUAUGGUUGUAAAGCACUUUAAGCGAGGAGGAGGCUACUCUAGUUAAUACCUAGGGAUAGUGGACGUUACUCGCAGAAUAAGCACCGGCUAACUCUGUGCCAGCCGCCGCCGUAA